Molecule: long non-coding RNA, 309 nt
Filed under: Manihot esculenta (cassava)
Lineage: Eukaryota; Viridiplantae; Streptophyta; Magnoliopsida; Malpighiales; Euphorbiaceae
Description: long non-coding RNA (MESC_LNC010484)
Source: RNAcentral
UUUGUCAAGAUUUCGCUGGUCGGCUUCCGCUUUCAGGGACUUGGGCCAUUGCAAGAAUUCUUUGUCCUGGACAGCUACGAGCACUUCGGCUCUAGAGGCAUUAAGUGGGGUCGGCUUCUCCGGAACCCAUGAAGGGAGUGGCCUUUGUUCUGAGGACCGAGGGGGAAAAGGUCUUUGGUCCCUUCGCUCCCAAGGCUGUCUGUAAGGCUCAGAUCUUUUGCCAUGUUUCUUUUCAUGCUUCUCCGAUCUUCUUUCCUCCGGGGCUUUUUCCUUGCCUGCCGCUCCUUUGGCAAAUCGGCUUGUCACCAG